Molecule: RNA transcript, 740 nt
Organism: Haliotis rubra (blacklip abalone)
Lineage: Eukaryota; Metazoa; Mollusca; Gastropoda; Lepetellida; Haliotidae
Gene name: failed axon connections homolog
Exons: 4
Source: RefSeq, a predicted model, not a curated record
AUCCUGUAGAAAGGGGGCACGCACCUAAUACAACCAUCGGGCGGUUUAGCUCCAGUCAGUCAUGGGCUCUGCAGCCAAAGUGAUUCUUUACCAACUAUUCCGAAGUCCCCGAGCGCCAAGUCCGUCUCCGUUUGCUGUUAAACUAGAUACUUUCCUCAGAAUGGCUAAAAUAGAAUACACAGCACAUUGCAGAACGACUUCAGCGUGACACAGUCGUCCAAAGGCAAGAUCCUCUGGAUGCGAUACGACGGAGAACCUGUAGAGGACUCUCAGUUCUGUGUCGAGUAUCUGAACCGGAAGUUAAACAUAAACCUAAACAGUCACAUGACCGAGGAACAACGAGCUAUUGCGCAUGCGUUUCGGAAGAUGGCGGAAGUGAAUCUAUACUGGUGUAUGGGGAUGGCUAGAAUGGAAAAUAUGGAGUUUAUGACAAGUAUGCCCGGAAAUAGGUUCAACAAACUAUUUAUUUGGUAUGGUAUACGCGUGUAUCUGAACCAGAUGAAAGCUCACGGAAUCAGACCACACUCCCAUGAAGAAAGCCUGCAUAUUAUGGAGGGUGAUUUGAGAUCACUGUCAGUCUACCUAGGUAAGGAAUGCAAGGCGAGUUGUCUUUGACUUCAGCAUAGAUAAGUUUGUGUUGGCUAACAUUUGCUUUGUGUUUGUGUUCCCAUACGCCUAAACGAGGACGAGGCCACUCAAAGUUGAGGACUUCUGUUUCCCGAUGACUCAUGACAGAAGGG